RNAcentral lists this ribosomal RNA (484 nucleotides) under uncultured bacterium. RNAcentral's name for it is "partial 16S ribosomal RNA". It matches the Rfam family "Bacterial small subunit ribosomal RNA", at positions 30 to 507 of the family's 1533-position model. The record is from RNAcentral.
AUUGAACGCUGGCGGCAGGCCUAACGCAUGCAAGUCGAGCGGAUGAAGGGAGCUUGCUCCUGGAUUCAGCGGCGGACGGGUGAGUAAUGCCUAGGAAUCUGCCUGGUAGUGGGGGAUAACGUCCGGAAACGGGCGCUAAUACCGCAUACGUCCUGAGGGAGAAAGUGGGGGAUCUUCGGACCUCACGCUAUCAGAUGAGCCUAGGUCGGAUUAGCUAGUUGGUGGGGUAAAGGCCUACCAAGGCGACGAUCCGUAACUGGUCUGAGAGGAUGAUCAGUCACACUGGAACUGAGGCACGGUCCAGACUCCUACGGGAGGCAGCAGUGGGGAAUAUUGGACAAUGGGCGAAAGCCUGAUCCAGCCAUGCCGCGUGUGUGAAGAAGGUCUUCGGAUUGUAAAGCACUUUAAGUUGGGAGGAAGGGCAGUAAGUUAAUACCUUGCUGUUUUGACGUUACCAACAGAAUAAGCACCGGCUAACUUCGUG